GGCCUGCCCACGUGCCACGGUUCGCAGUACCGAACAGGAUCAAGGGGCAAGCCGGUGCAACUCCGGCGCUGACCCGCAACCGUGAUGUCGACCGCCCGCCCCGGGCAGGCCGUCGACCAGCCGGAAAACCCUCCCCGUUCGACUCGAUCAC
Molecule: non-coding RNA, 151 nt
Filed under: Intrasporangium chromatireducens
Lineage: Bacteria; Bacillati; Actinomycetota; Actinomycetes; Micrococcales; Intrasporangiaceae
Source: RNAcentral